GACAUCUAUCGCCAAACCCGCUGCGAAGUGGGGGCGGAAAGUCUCGGGUCUUGAGAUUCGUUACAAGACGGCUGGAUUGCUCCC
RNAcentral lists this non-coding RNA (84 nucleotides) under Methylomonas methanica. Its description in RNAcentral is "c-di-GMP sequence". It matches the Rfam family "c-di-GMP-I riboswitch aptamer". Rfam says of the family: GEMM was predicted in a large-scale screen for bacterial structured RNA regulatory elements. Genes associated with GEMM are involved in a diverse array of functions, including chemotaxis regulation, signal transduction, secretion and chitin. The record is from RNAcentral. RNAcentral also lists the same sequence under 1 other name. Lineage: Bacteria; Pseudomonadati; Pseudomonadota; Gammaproteobacteria; Methylococcales; Methylococcaceae.